GCCAAGGCUCUUAUGAAGUUUGCUUUCUUUGUUGCUUUGUUGCUGAUUACCAUGGGUUUGUUUCUCUUUCUUAUUCCAAUUCCUUCAUGGCCAUUUCAUUUAAUGUCAGUUUUCCAUUGUAAUAUCUUAGAGCAAACAGGAAAAAGAAUGAUAAUAAUCAUAUGUACGGGUGGCAUAAUUAGUUUUGUAUUAAGUUUUGGCGAGUCACUGACUACCCAUUCAUUAACUCAGUUCAUUUUGACCCGCCCAAAUUCAGCUAGUCUAAAACAUAAACUGAUUUGGACCUAUGAGAAACCUUAUCAGAAAAUUUAAAUAAGUUUUAAAUUUAAUAUGUUAUAUAUAUAGCUGCAAUAAAGGGGGGAAAUUCAUAAGUAGUAAUUAAAUAAAUUACAAGAAAACAAACAGAAAAAUUAAAAUUUGAUAAGAGGUGGGUUGGUCGGGUUAUGCCAUAUUAUUUAGCUAAUCUUGAUUUAACCCAUCUCUGUCUAAAUAAUUUUUUUUAGGCGAACUAAUAAACCUUUCAUUAGUUAACUCACCCCAUUUUGACGCGCCAAAAUUCAGUCGGACUCGCAUAUUUGACACCCCUAAACUCGUAUGUUAUAUAAUGAAUUGCUUACAAUUUUCUUGUAUAUAAUUGCAGAUAUUUCAUCCUUUAAGGUGGCAGCGCUGAGAAAAUGUAAUACUUCAGACGAUUGCGAAGGGGUUUGUUCUCCUGCUCUGAAAACCAGUUGUCUUUUUCACCGGUGCAUAUGCUGGUCCAAGAAAAAGGAAGAAAUGGAUACACAAUUAGGUCUGAAUCCAAAAAAUAACUGAUGUCUUUUAUUGUGCUUGCAUUGAAUCGUGCUAAAAUGGAUGUGGACUUGAUCUUGUGUAAUACGAUAUGUCCC
This 887-nucleotide long non-coding RNA is filed under the name Nicotiana tabacum (common tobacco). RNAcentral describes it as "long non-coding RNA (NTAB_LNC008153)". The record is from RNAcentral. Lineage: Eukaryota; Viridiplantae; Streptophyta; Magnoliopsida; Solanales; Solanaceae.